Non-coding RNA from Parasteatoda tepidariorum (common house spider), 500 nucleotides. The record is from RefSeq and is a predicted model, not a curated record. Lineage: Eukaryota; Metazoa; Arthropoda; Arachnida; Araneae; Theridiidae.
UGGGGGAGCAGGGGAUUGUUCGAAUUCGUUGGACGAAGAAUUAUUGUUCAAGGCUACUUCUCCUUCUUUCAAAGUUUUACUUUCGAUUUUAUGCAAUAGUAAAUGCAGACUUAGUUUGUAGCCUGUUGAUAAGUGCCAGUAUAACAUUCGUGAACAUUUGAAUCAAAUGUUUGGUCACGGAUAGAUUGGGCGUGGUGGACCUGUUUCCUAGCCACCACGCUCUCCUGAUUUAAGCAGCAGCAUGGAUUCCUUUCUUUAGGGUGCAUUGAAAAGUGCAAUGUACACAACAUCUUUGGAUUCCGAAAUGGAUCUGGUUGCAAGAAUCAUCUAUGCUGUACAUCCAACAAAAUUCAGGUGUAUUUGAGCGAGGCCGCCAAUUCCAACAACAUAUGCAUCGCUAGCAAUGGUGUAAACUUUGAACCUCUUCUGUGACAUUUUCACGUAUGAUUUACCACAGCACAUGUAAUAUUUGUGACCCAUAAAUAUUUCAGAUAAUCUCA